This 239-nucleotide ribosomal RNA is filed under the name uncultured Lactobacillus sp. Its description in RNAcentral is "partial 16S ribosomal RNA". It matches the Rfam family "Bacterial small subunit ribosomal RNA", at positions 122 to 355 of the family's 1533-position model. Lineage: Bacteria; Bacillati; Bacillota; Bacilli; Lactobacillales; Lactobacillaceae. The record is from RNAcentral.
UAACCUGCCCAAGAGAUCGGGAUAACACCUGGAAACAGAUGCUAAUACCGGAUAACAACAGAUGAUGCCUAUCAACUGUUUAAAAGAUGGUUCUGCUAUCACUCUUGGAUGGACCUGCGGUGCAUUAGCUAGUUGGUAGGGUAACGGCCUACCAAGGCGAUGAUGCAUAGCCGAGUUGAGAGACUGAUCGGCCACAUUGGGACUGAGACACGGCCCAAACUCCUACGGAGGCAGCAGCA